GUAAAGCCUCUGAGCCCAAGCCUGCAGGUAUACAUCCAGAUGGCCUGAAGCAACUGAAGAAUCACAAAAGAAGUGAAAAUGGCCGGUUCCUGCCUUAACUGAUGACAUUACCUUGUGAAAUUCCUUCUCCUGGACAAUGAAUCUCAGGAGCUCCCCCACUGAGCACCUUGUGACCCCCCUGCCUCUGCCUGCAAGAGAACAACCCCCUUUGACUGUAAUUUUCCACUACCUACCCAAAUCCUAUAAAACUGCCCCACCCCUAACUCCCAUUGCUGACUCUCUUUUAGGACUCAGCCCACCUGCACCCAGGUGAUUAAAAAGCUUUAUUGCUCACACAAAGCCUGUUGGUGGUCCCUUUACAUGGAUGCACAUGACACUCUUGACUUUGAUUUUCUGCAGUAUGAAUAUGGGACAUGCAUGAAAUUUGGUGCCAUGACUCGGAUCGGGGGACCUCCUUUGGGAGAUCAAUCCCCUGUCCUCCUGAUCUUUGCUCCAUGAGAAAGAUCCACCUACCACCUCAAGUCCUCAGACUGACCAGCCCAAGAAACAUCUCACCAAUUUCAAAUCCGGACCCCACUGAAAAUCAGACUGUUCAACUCACCUGGCAGCCACUCCCAGAGCCCCUGGAACUCUGGCCCAAGGCUCUCUGACUGACUCCUUCCCAGAUCUUCUCAGCUUAGCAGCUGAAGACUGACACUGCCCGAUCGCCUCAGAAGCCUACAGGAACAUCACAGACGCUCUAGGUAACUCUCACAGUGGAAGGUAAGUCCGUCCCCUUCUUAAUACAGAGGCUACUCACUCCACAUUACCUUAUUUUCAAGGGCCUGUUUCCCUUGCUUCCAUAACUGUCAUGCGUAUUGACGGCCAGGCUUCUAAACCUCUUAAAACUCCCCAGCUCUGUUGCCAACUUAGACAAUACUCUUUUAAGCACUCCUUUUAAUUAUCCCCACCUGCCCAGCUCCCUUAUUAGGCUGAGAUACUUUAACUAAAUUAUCUGCUUCCCUGACUGUUCCUAGGCUACAGCCACACCUCAUUGCUGCCUUUUCCCCCAGUUCAAAGCCUCCUUCCCAUCCUCCCCUUGUAUCUCCCCACCUUAACCCACAAGUAUGACACCUCUACUCCCUCCUUAGUGACCGAUUAUGCACCCCUUACCAUCCCAUUAAAACCUAAUCACCCUUACCCCACUCAAUGACAAUAUCCCAUCCCACAGCAUGCUUUGAAAGGAUUAAAGCCUGUUAUCACUCGUCUGUUACAGCAUGGCCUUUUAAAGCCUAUAAACUCUUCUUACCAUUCCCCCAUUUUACCUGUCCUAAAAUCAGACAAGGCUUAGAGGUUAGUUCAGAAUCUGCGCCUUAUCGACCAAAUUGUUUUGCCUAUCCACCCCAUGGUGCCAAACCCAUAUACUCUCCUAUCCUCAAUACCUCCCUCUACAACCCAUUAUUCUGUUCUGGAUCUCAAACAUGCUUUCUUUAUUAUUCCUUUGCACCCUUCAUCCCAGCCUCUCUUCGCUUUCACUUAGACUGACCCUGACACCCAUUAGGCUCAGCAAAUUACCUGGGCUGUACUGCUGCAAGGCUUCACAGAUAGCCCCCAUUACUUCAGUCAAGCACAAAUUUCAUCCUCAUCUGUUACCUAUCUCGGCAUAAUUCUCAUAAAAAUACACGUGCUCUCCCUGCUGAUCAUGUCUGAUUAAUCUCCCAAACCUCAAUCCCUUACAAAACAACAACUCCUUUCCUUCCUAGGCAUGGGUAGUGCGGUCAGAAUUCUUACACAAGUGCCAGGACCACACCCUGUAGCCUUUCUGUCCAAACAACUUGACCUUACUGUUUUAGCCUAGCCCUCAUGUCUGCAUGUAGUGGCUGCCGCUGCUUUAAUAUUUUCAGAGGCCCUAAAAAUCACAAACUAUGCUCAACUCACUCUCUACAGUUCUCAUAACUUCCAAAAUCUAUUUUCUUCCUCACACCUGAUGCAUAUACUUUCUGCUCCCCGGCUCCUUCAGCUGUACUCACUCUUUGUUAAGUCCCACAAUUACCAUUGUUCCUGGCCUGGACUUCAAUCCGGCCUCCCACAUUAUUCCUGAUACCACACCUGACCCUCAUGACUGUAUCUCUCUGAUCCACCUGACAUUCACCCCAUUUCCCCAUAUUUCCUUCUUUCCUGUUCCUCACCCUGAUCACGCUUGAUUUAUUGAUGGCAGUUCCACCAGGCCUAAUCGCCACACACCAGCAAAGGCAGGCUAUGCUAUAGUACAAGCCACUAGCCCGCCUCUUAGAACCUCUCAUUUUCUUUCCAUCGUGGAAACCUAUCCUCAAGGAAAUAACUUCUCAGUGUUCCAUCUGCUAUUCUACUACUCCUCAGGGAUUAUUCAGGCCCCCUCCCUUCCCUACACAUCAAGCUCGAGGAUUUGCCCCCACCGAGGACUGGCAAAUUAGCUUUACUCAACAUGCCCCAAGUCAGAUAACUAAAAUACCUCUUAGUCUAGGUAGACACUUGCACUGGAUAGGUACAGGCCUUUCCUACAGGGUCUGAGAAGGCCACCACAGUCAUUUCUUCCCUUCUGUCAGACAUAAUUCCUCAGUUUAGCCUUCCCACCUUUAUACAGUCUGAUAACAGAUCAGCCUUUAUUAGUCAAAUCGGCCGAGCAGUUUUUCAGGCUCUUAGUAUUCAGCGAAACCUUUAUAUCCCUUACGGUCCUCCGUCUUCAGGAAAAGUAGAACGGACUAAAGGUCUUUUAAAAACACACCUCACCAAGCUCAGCCACCAACUUAAAAAGGACUGGACAAUACUUUUACCACUUUCCCUUCUCAGAAGUCAGACCUGUCCUCAGAAUGCUACAGGGUACAGCCCAUUUGAGCUCCUGUAUAGAUUCUCCUUUUUAUUAGGCCCCAGUCUCAUUCCAGACACCAGACCAACUUGAACUAUGCCCCAAAAAAACUUGUCAUCCCUACUAUCUUCUGUCUAGUCAUACUCCUAUUCACCAUUCUCAACUACUCAUACAUGCCCUGCUCUUGUUUACACUGCUGGUUUACACUGUUUCUCCAAGCCAUCACAGCUGAUAUCUCCUGGUGCUAUCCCCAAACUGCGACUCUUAUCUCUUGAAGUAAAUAAAUAAUCUUUGCUGACAGGACUAUGCUGAAUCUCCUUAGGCACUCUCUAAUUAGAUGUCCUAGGUCCUCCCAAUUCUUAGGCCUUUAAUACCUGUUUUUCUCCUUCUCUUAUUCUGUUUAGUUUUUCAAUUCAUACAAAACCAUAUCCAGGCCAUCACCAAUAAUUCUAAAUGACAAAUGUUUCUUCUAACAACCCCACAGUAUCACCCCUUACCACAAGAUCUUCCUUCAGCUUAAUCUCUCCCACUCUAGGUUCCCACAUCGCCCCUAAUCCCGCUUGAAGCAGCCCUGAGAAACAUCGCCCAUUAUCUCUCCAUACCACCCCCAAAAAUUUUCACCACCCCAACACUUUACCACUAUAUCGUUUUAUUUUUCUUAUUAAUAUAAGAAGACAGGAAUGUCAGGCCUCUGAGCCCAAGCUAAGCCAUCAUAUCCCCUGUGGCCUCCAGGUACACAUCCAGAUGGCCAGUUCCUGCCUUAACUGAUGACAUUGUCUUGUGAAAUUCCUUCUCCUGGCUCAUCCUGGCUCAAAAGCUCCCCCACUGCGUACCUUGUGACCCCCACUCCUGCUCGCCAGAGAACAACCCCCCUUUUCCCUUUACCUAACCAAAUCCUAUAAAAUGGCCCCAUCCCAUCUCCCUUCGCUGACUCUCUUUUCGGACUCAGCCCACCUGCACCCAGGUGAAAUAAACAGCCAUGUUGCUCACACAAAGCCUGUUUGGUGGUCUCUUCACACGGACGUGCAUGAAACUACCUACACCCAUACGGAAGGGAACAAAUCAUGGUAAACCACAAGCACUAGUAGCAUUUAUGAUAGUUGCUGAAGAUCCUCCUUAGCUCCCAGCCUUCUGUUCUGUUCCAAGUCAGCCUGCCUCCUGAUGCUAGAUGUUCUUCCUUCUCCCUGACCUUUAUAAGAGAUCAUGGAAUUGAGGGCUGCACUGGAGCCUACCUCUGCUUUUAUGGAACACACUGAAUCUACUAAAAUCAGUGUUUUCUCACUAAAAGCAAGAUCUCAAUUAUGUAAAUAGUACAGGACUUCAAAAAUCUCAUUCACUGGUGAUUUCAGGUAGUUGGAUCUAGGAUACUGAGGGAGACAGAGCAUGAUCAAGCUUGUUCCUUGAUUGGCCAGAUAGUUAAUUCAGUUCAGUAUUUGCUCUGCAUAGACAGAGAUGUAUAGUUGUACAUAAUUGUUUAUUUUUGAUCCUAAAAGUCAGUCGUGCUAAGUAACUAGUUACAUACAUUUAGUGCUAGCACACACAUUUUUAGUUAUAGUCUUUAGAAAAACUAUAAGCUGUGUUUGAAUUAUGCUUCAACCACUAACUUUGUGACCUUGGCUAAAUCACAUAAACUCCCCAUAUCACUUUCCUUAGUCUUAAAUAAAGAUAACACACAGUGAGUGCUCAGGAAAUACCAACUCCUCUUUACCCCCGUACAUACUGCUCAGCCUGAAUGUUGCAUCUUCUGGGCCUUGCUCACUUUUGCCAAUGUGUGACUUGCUACAAAAACAUGUGUUCAUGGAUGAUAUGUCUUUUCAAAAACCUUCCCUCUAUGCCUAUCACGCUGGUAUUUUUUUAAGUUAGUCUAUCACUGAAAAUUCACAAACUCAUACCUGCCUGUUGAAACUAUGUCCUUGCUUCACAUUCUAACUGAAGAUCUAACUGUGAUAAAAUAUUUUUCACUCUCACUAUCCACGUUGUUUUACACAUCUACACUGGUGUCUGUCAACUUUGCAACAGAAUACACUUAUAUGUAAACCUCUUUCACUAAACCAUGAACCCAUAGAGUGCCAACCAUUUACAAUUAGUGUCAAUGUGGAAUUUUGUUCUCAACAGAUACUGGGUCAAUUAAAUAUUUUAUCAAAUAAUGAUCACUGCACCUGAAUACCAGAUAUGUUGACAUUUCCUUUUAAACUGGAGUACAUUUAUCUCCAUUACAGGGACUGUGUGGUCUAACGUUUAUAAACACUGUGCAUAGCAUUGAACCAUGAAGUUAACAUUUAUUAAUCAAUUUUGAGGCCUUAGUGUAUUUCAUAGUUUAAAUUGGUGUUCUGAUCAAAAGAAAAUAAGAAAAUGGUGGAACAAAAGUUUUAGAAAAAAAGGGUAGGGAAAGAGGCAAGAAGGAAGUAACAAAAUGAAGAUUCCUAGCCCUAUAGCAACAAAUAUCUAGCAGGUGCUGAAUGGUUGUUUUUCGUUUUUUGUUUUUUUUGUUUUUUUUUUUCAGAAAAGUAGUGGAAUGCUACAGCCUAGUCAGUUUUGAGAAAAGGCUAACCAACAGCAACAACAACAGAUCAUAGUCAUGCUCAGAUUGCACAUGAACAAAAAAAUGUUGGAGAGAAACCAUUGAAAUAACUCACCGGUCCUCUUGUGUUGCUGCUUAUCUGAUUAUCUGAGGUCAAGGGAACUGAGGACAACAAAGGAAAUUAGGUCUUUCAUAGUUCUCAUUAAAUGCUGGAGGAGUCUGACUACUGCUGAGCUGAGCACUUCAGCGGCUUUGGAAAAGGAAGUGUGGUUACUUAUUUCACCACCUUCAUUGUGCUGGAGGAAAUAAGAAAUAGCUCUGAGACUAAUAAUAACAGAAACGGCAUCCACAGCAGCAGAGCCCAGUUGCGCUUCCUAAAGGCAGUAUAAAUAAUUAAGUGUCUCUAUAGGCAAGCCACUAGGAAUAAAUGAAAAAGAGCUGCAAUUGCUGAUGUGGUUUCACCCCAGUCCUGCCCAUGUUUCUUAACAGGAAAGGGAGUUGCAAUGCCAAUAAUAAAAUCUUAGAGCUGGAAAGAACAUUUAUUUGCCUGUUUAUUCAUUCAUUUACUCAGUCAUUAUUGGGCACUUACAGUAGACUAGUCGUUAUGUUACCUACUAGGAGCUUGGAUAUCACCCACUUUUAUGUCUUCAUUCUUUGAGAGAAGAGCUAUCUACAUGGUGAGUCCAAAAGUGCACAAGAGGAAACCUGGCUUGUCCAAACCAAGGGCUAUAACUUAGUUUCCUAACUGCCCAGCAAAAAUAUUUUCAAUUAGGCUCCACUUUAACUCUUAAAAAUGUGGCUUGUGAGUUACUUGAUGAAUAAUUUUACUUUCUUGAUUAUAUUAAGCACAAAAAGGAAGAGAAACACAAUUACAAUAUUAAAAUUGUGAAAGGCAUCUCACCAAGGUGCUGCUUCUGAGAACUCCAUGUCUCCAUUGCUUAUUUGAAACCUUUAUUUUGCUUGGCCUCUGGGUCCCACUGCCUCUGGAUUUACUUCUCACCUGCUGACUGCUCCUUCUUUUUUACUUUUUCUGUGUGCUCUCCA
Pan troglodytes (chimpanzee) is the source of this 6389-nucleotide long non-coding RNA. RefSeq lists it as uncharacterized. NCBI's taxonomy places the organism in Eukaryota, Metazoa, Chordata, Mammalia, Primates, Hominidae. The transcript is spliced from 3 exons. The record is from RefSeq and is a predicted model, not a curated record.